GAUGAAGAACGUAGCGAAAUGCGAUAAGUAAUGUGAAUUGCAGAAUUCAGUGAAUCAUCGAAUCUUUGAACGCACAUUGCGCCCGCCAGUAUUCUGGCGGGCAUGCCUGUCUGAGCGUCAUUUCAACCCUCAUGCCCCUAGGGCGUGGUGUUGGGGAUCGGCCAAAGCCCGCGAGGGACGGCCGGCCCCUAAAUCUAGUGGCGGACCCGUCGUGGCCUCCUCUGCGAAGUAGUGAUAUUCCGCAUCGGAGAGCGACGAGCCCCUGCCGUUAAACCCCCAACUUUCCAAGGUUGACCUCAGAUCAGGUAGGAAUACCCGCUGAACUUAAGCAUAUGAAUAAGCGGAGGA
Molecule: unclassified non-coding RNA, 348 nt
Filed under: soil metagenome
Description: partial contains 5.8S ribosomal RNA, internal transcribed spacer 2, and large subunit ribosomal RNA
Rfam family: 5.8S ribosomal RNA (bases 1-120)
Source: RNAcentral